CGCUGGCGGCGCGCCUAACACAUGCAAGUCGAGCGAGAACCAGGGCUUCGGCCCUGGGSACAGCGGCGAACGGGUGAGUAACACGUGGAUAACCUGCCCUCGGCACCGGAAUAGCCCGGGGAAACCCGGAUUAAUGCCGGAUAGCCCCACAUCCCUGCGGGGAACGUGGGAAAAGGUAGCUUCGGCCUCUGGCCGAGGAUGGGUCCGCGGUGGAUUAGCUUGUUGGCGGGGUAACGGCCCACCAAGGCGACGAUCCAUAGCUGGUCUGAGAGGACGAUCAGCCACACUGGGACUGAGACACGGCCCAGACUCCUACGGGAGGCAGCAGUGGGGAAUCUUGCGCAAUGGGCGAAAGCCUGACGCAGCGACGCCGCGUGCGGGAAGAAGGCCUUCGGGUUGUAAACCGCUUUCAGGAGGGACGAAGCCACUCGGGUGAAUAGCCCAGAGGGUGACGGUACCUCCAGAAGAAGCCCCGGCUAACUACGUGCCAGCAGCCGCGGUAAUACGUAGGGGGCAAGCGUUGUCCGGAUUCAUUGGGCGUAAAGAGCGUGUAGGCGGCCAGGUAGGUCGGUUGUGA
RNAcentral lists this ribosomal RNA (577 nucleotides) under uncultured soil bacterium. RNAcentral describes it as "bacterial SSU rRNA". It matches the Rfam family "Bacterial small subunit ribosomal RNA", at positions 34 to 597 of the family's 1533-position model. The record is from RNAcentral.